Molecule: ribosomal RNA, 253 nt
Filed under: uncultured bacterium
Lineage: Bacteria
Also listed under: 1 other name
Description: partial 16S ribosomal RNA
Rfam family: Bacterial small subunit ribosomal RNA
Source: RNAcentral
UACGUAGGGUGCGAGCGUUAAUCGGAAUUACUGGGCGUAAAGCGUGCGCAGGCGGUUUGGCAAGUCAGAUGUGAAAUCCCCGAGCUCAACUUGGGAACUGCGUUUGAAACUGCCAGACUAGAAUAUGUCAGAGGGGGGUAGAAUUCCACGUGUAGCAGUGAAAUGCGUAGAGAUGUGGAGGAAUACCAAUGGCGAAGGCAGCCCCCUGGGAUAAUAUUGACGCUCAUGCACGAAAGCGUGGGGAGCAAACAGG